UUUUUUCUUUUCUCUUUUGUUUUUGCUUUUGUUUUGUUUUUCUGUUUUUUUUUAGCAGAGUUAAAUCCCUAAAUCCUUGAAAUGGUUAGUACAAUGCCAUGAUGUUAUGAUGUUAUGUUGUUAUGAUGUCAUGUUGUUAGAAUAAAUAACAAGCACAAGCAAGUCACACAACAAUCAUUCCUAGGUUUUAAGGCUUUGCGUGAGUUCCAUAGGUAUAAUACCCUCCCCACUGAAGUUUGGUUGGUUCAACCUGUCUUAGAAUAGUA
RNAcentral lists this long non-coding RNA (266 nucleotides) under Lathyrus oleraceus (garden pea). RNAcentral's name for it is "Pisum sativum (pea) long non-coding RNA (PSAT_LNC028173)". The record is from RNAcentral. Lineage: Eukaryota; Viridiplantae; Streptophyta; Magnoliopsida; Fabales; Fabaceae.